AGGACGAACGCUGGCGGCGUGCUUAACACAUGCAAGUCGAGCGGAAAGGCCCUUCGGGGUACUCGAGCGGCGAACGGGUGAGUAACACGUGAGUAAUCUGCCCCUAGCUCUGGGAUAGCUCCGGGAAACCGGGAUUAAUACCAGAUACGACCACUUUAGACAUCUGCUGUGGUGGAAAGAAUUUCGGCUAGGGAUGAGCUCGCGGCCUAUCAGCUUGUUGGUGAGGUAACGGCUCACCAAGGCGACGACGGGUAGCCGGCCUGAGAGGGCGACCGGCCACACUGGGACUGAGACACGGCCCAGACUCCUACGGGAGGCAGCAGUGGGGAAUAUUGCGCAAUGGGCGAAAGCCUGACGCAGCGACGCCGCGUGGGGGAUGAAGGCCUUCGGGUUCGUAACCCUUUCAGCAGGGACGAAGCGAAAGUGACGGUACUGCAGAAGAAGCGCCGGCUAACUACGUGCCAGCAGCCGCGGUAA
RNAcentral lists this ribosomal RNA (477 nucleotides) under uncultured bacterium. RNAcentral describes it as "SSU rRNA". It matches the Rfam family "Bacterial small subunit ribosomal RNA", at positions 26 to 523 of the family's 1533-position model. The record is from RNAcentral.